CCCUUAGAUGCUCUGGGCCGCACGCGCGCUACACUGGUCGAUGCAACGAGUUUCUUUCCUUGGCCGACAGGCCUGGGCAAUCUUUGAACAUCGAUCGUGAUCGGGAUAGAUUCUUGUAAUUUUUGAUCUUAAACGAGGAAUUCCUAGUAACCGCAAGUCAUCAGCUUGCAUUGAUUACGUCCCUGCCCUUUGUACACACCGCCCGUCGCACCUACCGAUUGAAUGGUCCGGUGAAAUCUCCGGACUGGCGUGAGUCGGAGCAAUCUGACAAACACCGGAAAGUUGAUUAAACCUUACCAUUUAGAGGAAGGUGAAGUCGUAACA
This 324-nucleotide ribosomal RNA is filed under the name uncultured eukaryote. Its description in RNAcentral is "partial 18S ribosomal RNA". It matches the Rfam family "Eukaryotic small subunit ribosomal RNA", at positions 1470 to 1796 of the family's 1831-position model. The record is from RNAcentral.